UUACGCUGUUAUCCCUAAGGUAAUUUAUUUAAAAAUCUAAAAUUUUAGGAUUUUUAAUUCAUUAAUUAAUGUUUUUAUAUUUAAAGUUUAAUUAAUUUAAAAAUUACCCCAAUUAAAUAAUAAAAUUUAUUUAUAUAAAUUUUAUUAUAAAAUUCUAUAGGGUCUUAUCGUCUAUUAAUUAAAUUUAAGAAUUUUUACUUAAAAUUUAAUUUUAAAUAUUAAUUAUUUUUAUAUAGUGUAUAUUUCAUUAAAUCAUUCAUUCUAGUUUUUAAUUAAAAAACUAUUUAUUAUGCUACCUUUGUACAGUUAUUAAUACUGCAGCCAUUAAAAUUUCAUUGGGCAGAUUUGACUUAAAAUUAUUUUCUAUAAGACAUGUUUUUGUUAAACAGGCG
Molecule: ribosomal RNA, 392 nt
Filed under: Ephedrus validus
Lineage: Eukaryota; Metazoa; Arthropoda; Insecta; Hymenoptera; Braconidae
Description: partial 16S ribosomal RNA
Source: RNAcentral